This 468-nucleotide ribosomal RNA is filed under the name uncultured bacterium. RNAcentral describes it as "partial 16S ribosomal RNA". It matches the Rfam family "Bacterial small subunit ribosomal RNA", at positions 28 to 507 of the family's 1533-position model. The record is from RNAcentral.
GACGAACGCUGGCGGCGUGCUUAACACAUGCAAGUCGAACGGAAAGGCCCUGCUUUUGUGGGGUGCUCGAGUGGCGAACGGGUGAGUAACACGUGAGUAACCUGCCCUUGACUUUGGGAUAACUUCAGGAAACUGGGGCUAAUACCGGAUAGGAGCUCCUGCAGCAUGGUGGGGGUUGGAAAGUUUCGGCGGUUGGGGAUGGACUCGCGGCUUAUCAGCUUGUUGGUGGGGUAGGGGCUUACCAAGGCUUUGACGGGUAGCCGGCCUGGGAGGGUGACCGGCCACAUUGGGACUGCGAUACGGCGCAGACUCGUACGGGACGCAGUAGUGGGGAAUAUUGCGGAAUGGGCGGAAGCCUGAGGCAGCAGCGUCGCGUGCGGGAAGCCGGCCUUCGGGUUGUAAACCGCUUUCGCCUGUGACGUAGCGGGAGUGACGGUAAUGGGUAAAGAAGCACCGGCUAACUACGUG